RNAcentral lists this long non-coding RNA (264 nucleotides) under Capsicum annuum. RNAcentral describes it as "long non-coding RNA (CANN_LNC004288)". The record is from RNAcentral. Lineage: Eukaryota; Viridiplantae; Streptophyta; Magnoliopsida; Solanales; Solanaceae.
UCUCUCUUAACGCAUGGUAGCAUAACGUGCAUCGUCCAUGGAAAAGAGAGCUCGGAUGCACUCACAAAAGGCAAAAAUGACACAGGAAUCAACUGCUUGUUGGAGUCCUAAAGGGUUGUUUGCUCAUUGAAGUGGAAAUGAAUGCAAAACUACCCGAUAAGGUGUUUAUUAAGAAUGAGAAAAGAUUAGUGAUGGAGGAAAAAGUACUGUAUGAUUGGAAAACACACCCUUUGUAAGUGUUGCCAGAAGUAUGGCAUAAAGAAC